GCUCCCGUAGCUCAGUUGGAUAGAGCAACGGAUUUCUAAUCCGUAGGUCGCAGGUUCGAAUCCUGCCGGGAGUG
Molecule: transfer RNA, 74 nt
Filed under: Roseibacillus sp.
Lineage: Bacteria; Pseudomonadati; Verrucomicrobiota; Verrucomicrobiia; Verrucomicrobiales; Verrucomicrobiaceae
Also listed under: 1 other name
Description: tRNA-Arg
Rfam family: tRNA
About the family: Transfer RNA (tRNA) molecules are approximately 80 nucleotides in length.
Source: RNAcentral